AAGGUCCCAAGCGUUGUUCGGAAUCACUGGGCGUAAAGCGUGCGUAGGCGGCGCGGUAAGUCAGAUGUGAAAUCUCUGGGCUCAACCCGGAAACUGCAUCCGAUACUGCCGCGCUAGAGUAAUGGAGGGGUAGCUGGAAUUCUCGGUGUAGCAGUGAAAUGCGUAGAUAUCGAGAGGAACACUCGUGGCGAAGGCGAGCUACUGGACAUUUACUGACGCUGAGGCACGAAGGCCAGGGUAGCGAAAGGG
RNAcentral lists this ribosomal RNA (249 nucleotides) under uncultured archaeon. RNAcentral's name for it is "partial 16S ribosomal RNA". It matches the Rfam family "Bacterial small subunit ribosomal RNA", at positions 528 to 776 of the family's 1533-position model. The record is from RNAcentral.